UACAGAGGUCUCAAGCGUUGUUCGGAUUCAUUGGGCGUAAAGGGUGCGUAGGCGGCGCGGUAAGUCGGGUGUGAAAUCUCGGAGCUUAACUCCGAAACUGCAUUCGAUACUGCCGUGCUUGAGGACUGGAGAGGAGACUGGAAUUUACGGUGUAGCGGUGAAAUGCGUAGAUAUCGUAAGGAAGACCAGUGGCGAAGGCGGGUCUCUGGACAGUUCCUGACACUGAGGCACGAAAGCUAGGGGAGCAAACAGG
Molecule: ribosomal RNA, 253 nt
Filed under: uncultured bacterium
Lineage: Bacteria
Description: partial 16S ribosomal RNA
Rfam family: Bacterial small subunit ribosomal RNA
Source: RNAcentral